CCGAAUUCGUCGACAACAGAGUUUGAUCCUGGCUCAGGACGAACGCUGGCGGCGUGCUUAACACAUGCAAGUCGAACGGAAAGGCCCAGCUUGCUGGGUACUCGAGUGGCGAACGGGUGAGUAACACGUGGGUGAUCUGCCCUGCACUCUGGGAUAAGCCUGGGAAACUGGGUCUAAUACCGGAUAUGACCAACUGUCGCAUGGUGGUUGGUGGAAAGCUUUUGCGGUGUGGGAUGGGCCCGCGGCCUAUCAGCUUGUUGGUGGGGUAAUGGCCUACCAAGGCGACGACGGGUAGCCGACCUGAGAGGGUGAUCGGCCACACUGGGACUGAGACACGGCCCAGACUCCUACGGGAGGCAGCAGUGGGGAAUAUUGCACAAUGGGCGCAAGCCUGAUGCAGCGACGCCGCGUGAGGGAUGACGGCCUUCGGGUUGUAAACCUCUUUCACCAGGGACGAAGCGUGAGUGACGGUACCUGGAGAAGAAGCACCGGCCAACUACGUGCCAGCAGCCGCGGUAAUACGUAGGGUGCGAGCGUUGUCCGGAAUUACUGGGCGUAAAGAGCUCGUAGGCGGUUUGUCGCGUCGUCUGUGAAAUUCUGCAACUCAAUUGCAGGCGUGCAGGCGAUACGGGCAGACUUGAGUACUACAGGGGAGACUGGAAUUCCUGGUGUAGCGGUGAAAUGCGCAGAUAUCAGGAGGAACACCGGUGGCGAAGGCGGGUCUCUGG
This 728-nucleotide ribosomal RNA is filed under the name Gordonia sp. 'Mali 56'. Its description in RNAcentral is "partial 16S ribosomal RNA". It matches the Rfam family "Bacterial small subunit ribosomal RNA", at positions 1 to 732 of the family's 1533-position model. Lineage: Bacteria; Bacillati; Actinomycetota; Actinomycetes; Mycobacteriales; Gordoniaceae. The record is from RNAcentral.